RNAcentral lists this long non-coding RNA (1588 nucleotides) under Homo sapiens (human). Its description in RNAcentral is "HSALNT0305456". Lineage: Eukaryota; Metazoa; Chordata; Mammalia; Primates; Hominidae. The record is from RNAcentral.
CAGCUAUGAUCAUGACACUGCACUCCAGCCCAGGUAAUGGAGAGAGACACUGUCUCUAAAAAAAGUUUAAAGAUGUAAAACGAUAUCAAAGUACAUAAUACAAAGGACAUAACUUAAAAUGUUGAAAGUGGUAACAAGAUUUAUAAAUGAAACAGAGUCACCUGUACCACUCUCUAUUCCUACUUUGAGGGACAAACACUUUCAACUGAUUCUUUUCCUGGUAUUUUCCUUCACUUUUCUGUGUCCCUGGUUCUCAAAGUGGGGUCUCUAGAAUUUGGGAGAAAUGCAAAUUCUUAGACCCCACCCCAGAUAUACCGAAUCAGACUAUGAGGGUGGAGCCCAGCAGCCAAUGUUUAAACAAACCUGUCUCCAGAGAUUCUGCCUCACGACCCCCCAAAGUUCUGACUGUUCUGGGUGAGGUGUUUAUACAAUGACUUCCUCCUAUGGACUGUGAAGGCUUACCUUUCUUCCACCCUCUCCCCAGCCCCACAAUCCUGCCUUCUUAUCUUUUCAGCACAGCUAUAUGACCAAUUUUGAUGAUGUUAAAAUUCAGUGUUUGUUGUAAUUAUGUAAAUAUUUUCACAACUAUCAGUAUAUUUCAUGUUUUAUGUAACUUUUAUUUUCCCUGGACUGAAUAACUGCCUCAUUUUUUUGUUGUCGUGAUGGCUUAGUGGGUUUGUUGUUGUUGUUUUUUAGAAACGAAGUCUCAGUAUGUUGCCCAAGCUGGUCUUGAACUCCCGGUCUUAAGCGAUCUCCUUGCCUCAGCCUCCCGAGUACUUCUCAGUUUUCUAUACAAAUCUCUCAUCUAUCCCUAACCUCUCAGUUUACCUGUUCUGGUCUUUCCUCACAUAUCUGACAAUCGUUAGCUCUCUUUGUAUUUCAAAGAAAAGCUCUGGAAUGUGUCUGGGACCUGUGUAUAUAUGGGCAAAACUCAUCAACGAAUGGGCUCCCUGGUGAUUAUUUGGCAGAUUCCUGGCAAUUUCAUCAGAGGAUCCAAAAAUUGGAGAAACUCCAAGAUGAACCCCAAAGAUCUCCAUCUCCAGCUGUUCACACUCCUAUGUAAUCUCUAGCCCUUGGGUGUGGAAAGGACUUGUGACUUACUUUAACCAACAACAGAAUAUAGCAAAGGUAAAAGGAUGUUAUUUCUGUGAUUAGACUAUACAAGAUUGUGACUUCUGUCUUGCUAGCAGACUCUACUGCUUUCUCAGUUUGCAUGCUAGAAUAAAGUAAGGAACUACUUUGGAGAGGCCCACAUGGUAAGGACUGAGGGCAGCUUCUUGGCAAUCACCAGCUAGGAACUGAGUUCCUUAGUCUAACAGGUCUUCAGAUCCUGAAUCCUGCCAAGAGCUCUGGCUGGUGCCUCUCCUUCCAUUGAGCCUUCAGAUGAAAACCUGGCCUUUGCCAAUAUUUGACUGUAGCCUGUGAGAGACCCUGAAGCAGAGAACCCAGCUCAGCUACAUCCAGAUUCCUGAGCCACAGAAAAUGAGAUUAUAAGUGUGUAUUGUUUGAAGCUGCUAAGUUUUGUGGUAAGUUGUUGCACAGAAGUAGACAAUUAAUACAAUUAUGUUUAUGUGAUUCAUCUAUACUG